This 471-nucleotide ribosomal RNA is filed under the name uncultured bacterium. RNAcentral describes it as "partial 16S ribosomal RNA". It matches the Rfam family "Bacterial small subunit ribosomal RNA", at positions 28 to 507 of the family's 1533-position model. The record is from RNAcentral.
GACGAACGCUGGCGGCGUGCUUAACACAUGCAAGUCGAACGAUGAAGCCUAGCUUGCUAGGUGGAUUAGUGGCGAACGGGUGAGUAAUACGUGAGUAACCUACCUUUAACUCUGGGAUAAGCCCGGGAAACUGGGUCUAAUACCGGAUACGACCAAUCUCCGCAUGGGGUGUUGGUGGAAAGCGUUAUGUAGUGGUUAUAGAUGGGCUCACGGCCUAUCAGCUUGUUGGUGAGGUAACGGCUCACCAAGGCGACGACGGGUAGCCGGCCUGAGAGGGUGACCGGCCACACUGGGACUGAGACACGGCCCAGACUCCUACGGGAGGCAGCAGUGGGGAAUAUUGCACAAUGGGCGUAAGCCUGAUGCAGCGACGCCGCGUGAGGGAUGACGGCCUUCGGGUUGUAAACCUCUGUUAGCAGGGAAGAAGAGAGAUUGACGGUACCUGCAGAGAAAGCGCCGGCUAACUACGUG